AGAGGACCUAAUUGAAGAAAAAGGAAAAGGGAAGGCUAAGGAGUGAAGGAAGACAUCAUCUCAAUCUUUUUGUUGUACAGUUAGACUCGAAGAGGUAGCGUCGACUAGAAGAUCUCUCAUCUCAUCACAUCCUCAAGAGCUUCAUAAGUAGGUACCAUAUUUUGAAUUAAAAGUGGCAUGUACAAAGGUGUUAUUUUGAUCACAUCAGAACGUUACAAGACUUUUGUUGUAAAAAAAAAAUGGUAAUUAGUAUUUUUAAUGUUUAUACUAAUGAAAUGGUACAAAAGUUUAUAUAGUA
Molecule: long non-coding RNA, 298 nt
Organism: Gossypium arboreum
Lineage: Eukaryota; Viridiplantae; Streptophyta; Magnoliopsida; Malvales; Malvaceae
Exons: 2
Source: RefSeq, a predicted model, not a curated record